This 1855-nucleotide long non-coding RNA is filed under the name Cicer arietinum (chickpea). RNAcentral describes it as "long non-coding RNA (CARI_LNC003167)". The record is from RNAcentral. Lineage: Eukaryota; Viridiplantae; Streptophyta; Magnoliopsida; Fabales; Fabaceae.
AAACUUUCACUAUAAAUAGAUACUCAAGGGUGAAGGAGAAAAGCAGAAAAAAGUAUCAGAACUCAAGCUCAAAGUUCUCAAUUCUUCUUAGAGUUCAAAGAGUUGAAACACUUGUUCAGGUUAGAAAUAUUUUCUAAGUGUUCUUUUCUUAGAGUGUGAGAGUUAUUAUUAUUAUCAGCUUUAUUAGAAGCAACUACUCAAGUUCCAAUCUUUUGUAUUCAACCCGAUAGUGGUUUAGUUCCUUCUUCAAUAUGGAGUUUAAUGGUAUCCUUUAGGUGGACGCAAUCAUCGGUAUUAUGGUCGUUGCACUUGUAGAAGCGACAAUACUUAUUUUUAUCAACUCUCGGCGCAGAGGAAACUGUCAGGGAAACUGAAUUCCCCCUUCCUUGAAUUCAAUAUGUGUUCCCUGGAACCACUCAGAGAGGUGUAAGGUAGGUAUCGACCAGGUCGACUGCAUCGAUUUGAUGACUCCUUUCGCGGCUUUUCAUCCCCUUUACGUUCAACCAGAGGUCGUUAGGGCGGGUUGACGAGUAAGGUAUUGUUGUUCCUGUCUAAUCUACCCCUUCGUACUCUUUGGGCGUAGAUAUCCUCUUCAUUAUGGAUGUAGGUCUAUGGUUGAGCCAAAGAUUCAUUCAGGGUAUUUGGCUUCUUCAACCCAAUAUCAUCGGCAAAGCGGCUCCCUUCAAGGAGACCCUCCUUCACUAGCUACAUCAUCAUGUUAUCAUUUUCCUUUUUGACGGAUACAACUUCUUUGUUGAAGCAUUCGAUUUAGUUAUAGAAAGGUUCAUCCCUACCCUAGACAAUUGAUGACAUUGUGUCGAUCAUCUAGAGCUACUUUUUUGAGGCAUUGUUUUGAGCAACUAAUUCUUUGCAGAACUCUUCCCAAGAAUCGGAGGAGUUGGAGGCAAACUCUUAAACCAAGUCAUGGCACUUUCUUCCAAUGUGAAUGCAAAAAGAUGACAUUUGAUGGGUCCUUCCAUGCCACUGUAGUCGAGGAUGGCCUCCACAUUUAAGAUAUGCCCAUCGAAGUUUGUUGUCCCAUCGUAUGAGUUCAUGUGUGGGGAUUUCUCCAACAUCCUUGGUAUCCUGUAGUUCUUGGUCCUUGUUGUGAAGGGUCCACGAGACUCGUAUGAUCCGUAUGGUUCUCGAAAAAUCCCAUGUGUUGGAGAUGGAAUGAAACGCGAUCUGGAUCAAGAAUGACGUCAAGGUUAUCGAUUAUCCAUGAGUUAGAGUCUUUGUAGGACCUUUUUCGAUAACCUCGCUCCGGUGACUCUCGUGGGAAACUUUUCAUGCGCUUUUGGGUCGAUCAUAUUUUGUUUCUUCUUCUAGACAGAGUGUCGUGGCGGCGUAGCCUUACGAAACCUUUAGAGUAUUAUGUUGUCUACUAGGUUGUUACCAUUGUGUAGGUUGUUGGUUUUCUAUAGCACUAAGACGGUGGUUCUAUUCAUGGAUCAUUCUAGUUUGUUCUAGUGUCUGGGCAACAAGUUCGUUGAGGAUUGCUCCUAUGUUUUGGUCCACCGCAAGGUUGGCGUCUGUGUUGGGCACGACGUGGUUAACGAAGCCUUCUUGGGAUGGGGGCGUUGUGGCCCCUUCCUCAUAUUGUUGAAGGGUGGUGUCAAUAUUCAUUCUAGGGUUGUUGAGCUUGUUACCUUCCAUUGGAGAGUUAUGAGUUAGGUUUUUAGCAAAACAAGGAAACCUAGAUUCCUAUAGAUGAUCUGAUAUGGACUGAGGAGGAUGGUCAAAUUCGUGAGAGACAGAUAAUAGACUUCGAACCUGCUGAGGGGUGGUACCUUCAAAUGUUAUGAUGCUCAAGUAAGUAUUGAUUCGAGGGUAGUAGGAGAUAGUAGGAUGAAAA